GACGAACGCUGGCGGCGUGCCUAAUACAUGCAAGUCGAACGCUUCUUUCCUCCCGAGUGCUUGCACUCAAUUGGAAAGAGGAGUGGCGGACAGGUGAGUAACACGUGGGUAACCUACCCAUCAGAGGGGGAUAACACUUGGAAACAGGUGCUAAUACCGCAUAACAGUUUAUGCCGCAUGGCAUAAGAGUGAAAGGCGCUUUCGGGUGUCGCUGAUGGAUGGACCCGCGGUGCAUUAGCUAGUUGGUGAGGUAACGGCUCACCAAGGCCACGAUGCAUAGCCGACCUGAGAGGGUGAUCGGCCACACUGGGACUGAGACACGGCCCAGACUCCUACGGGAGGCAGCAGUAGGGAAUCUUCGGCAAUGGACGAAAGUCUGACCGAGCAACGCCGCGUGAGUGAAGAAGGUCUUCGGAUCGUAAAACUCUGUUGUUAGAGAAGAACAAGGACGUUAGUAACUGAACGUCCCCUGACGGUAUCUAACCAGAAAGCCACGGCUAACUACGUG
Molecule: ribosomal RNA, 508 nt
Filed under: uncultured bacterium
Lineage: Bacteria
Description: partial 16S ribosomal RNA
Rfam family: Bacterial small subunit ribosomal RNA
Source: RNAcentral